UCACCCUGUAAAUCGCGAAUUUCAAACGCGCAAAAAGUUGAGUUGUAAUCAUUUAUUUAAAUCUUCUAUGACGUUAAAGUGGUGGGGAUUUUUUACCAUGUCUCACUGAGGCCAUGUGCUAAGCCAGUGGAAAAAGGUUAAGCUUUUUUAACUUUUCUUUUUCUCAUCGGGUAGGAGGAAAAAAAAUGAAUCUGCUUUUACUUUUUCUCUUUUCAGUUUGUCUUAGUUUGCUUUGACAAGUUGUGCUAGUGAACAUGAGGUUACUACUGCACUCUGCUUCCAGCUACCUAUCUUUCUCUCAAAAUCAUAUACAUAGCUAUCAAUUACCCAACUCAAUCCAAAAACUGUUAGCAUUAACUCCUACCAUGCAUAAAGCCUAUAUACCAUAAUCUCAACUAGGAAUCAAAGAUGAAAUUAAUGCUAGCUAGCUUACAAUGAAUUGUUUUUAAAUUCAUGAGUUCCACAAACUAUGGAAAUAAUUACAAUUAAUGGUUGCUUUUUUUGAAGAACUAAACUACAAACAUAGACCACUAGCAAUGGCUUUAUUUGUUUCCAAAUUGGUAGUUUCAUAGACAGGAAGCUCUUCUUGGUACCUUGCAGCUCCAAUAAGAUGAUCCAGCUCAAACAAAUCUGAACUUGAACAACUCACAUCAUCAUCAUCAUCAUUUUCAUCAUUCUCAUUCUCACCAUUACCAUAAAAACCUAUAAAAUCAAAUUCACCCUUACCAGAAUUUCGGUAACCUUUUACAAAACCCCUAGCUGCUGCUUCUUCGGUUGCAUUUUCUUUUCCCCGAACAGUGUUCUUCUUCAGCUCCUUUAUGGAAGAACUUCUAGUAAUCUUUCUCACAGUGAGAUUAGAUUCACUCUCAUAAAUGUUGUUACAUUUCUUAUUAUGACUAUGACUAUUAGAUUGCGGUUCAGAAUCCUCACCUAGGAUUACGCUAACGGGGUAAAACCUCACGGAUCUUUUGACUCCAUUGUUGUUGGGUUUUUUAGCCGAAGAGGGUGUUUUGCUCAUGCAAGACCUUCUAGAAAACGAAGAAGGCGUGGAAGAGAAACAAGGGGACUUUGAUUUGUGCUCGAAGCUAACAUCUUCAACGGCUCCAACGUAACAC
Molecule: long non-coding RNA, 1115 nt
Filed under: Glycine max (soybean)
Lineage: Eukaryota; Viridiplantae; Streptophyta; Magnoliopsida; Fabales; Fabaceae
Description: long non-coding RNA (GMAX_LNC003828)
Source: RNAcentral